RNAcentral lists this ribosomal RNA (434 nucleotides) under uncultured bacterium. RNAcentral describes it as "bacterial SSU rRNA". It matches the Rfam family "Bacterial small subunit ribosomal RNA", at positions 958 to 1392 of the family's 1533-position model. The record is from RNAcentral.
AACGCGAAGAACCUUACCAGGGCUUGACAUCCUCUGACGGCUAUAGAGAUAUAGUUUUCCCUUCGGGGACAGAGAGACAGGUGGUGCAUGGUUGUCGUCAGCUCGUGUCGUGAGAUGUUGGGUUAAGUCCCGCAACGAGCGCAACCCCUAUUGUCAGUUGCCAUCAGGUUAAGCUGGGCACUCUGGCGAGACUGCCGUUGACAAAACGGAGGAAGGUGGGGACGACGUCAAAUCAUCAUGCCCCUUAUGUCCUGGGCUACACACGUACUACAAUGGCAACAACAGAGGGCAGCCAGGUCGCGAGGCCGAGCGAAUCCCAAAAUGUUGUCUCAGUUCAGAUUGCAGGCUGCAACUCGCCUGCAUGAAGUCGGAAUUGCUAGUAAUGGCAGGUCAGCAUACUGCCGUGAAUACGUUCCCGGGUCUUGUACACACCG